This 520-nucleotide ribosomal RNA is filed under the name uncultured bacterium. Its description in RNAcentral is "bacterial SSU rRNA". It matches the Rfam family "Bacterial small subunit ribosomal RNA", at positions 8 to 518 of the family's 1533-position model. The record is from RNAcentral.
AGAGUUUGAUUCUGGCUCAGGAUGAACGCUGGCGGCGUGCUUAACACAUGCAAGUCGAACGGAGUUUAGAGAGCUUGCUCUUAAACUUAGUGGCGGACGGGUGAGUAACGCGUGGGUAACCUGCCUUUCACUGGGGGAUAACAGUUAGAAAUGACUGCUAAUACCGCAUAAGCGCACGGGAUCGCAUGAUCUAGUGUGAAAAGCUCCGGUGGUGAAAGAUGGACCCGCGUCUGAUUAGCUAGUUGGUGAGGUAACGGCCCACCAAGGCGACGAUCAGUAGCCGGCCUGAGAGGGUGAACGGCCACAUUGGGACCGAGACACGGCCCAGACUCCUACGGGAGGCAGCAGUGGGGAAUCUUCCGCAAUGGGCGCAAGCCUGACGGAGCAACGCCGCGUGAGUGAGGAAGUUCUUCGGAACGUAAAGCUCUGUUGUUCCUGACGAACCUCCCUUCUAUCAACAACGGAGGGGACUGACGGUAGGGAACGAGGAAGCCACGGCUAACUACGUGCCAGCAGCGGC